This 810-nucleotide ribosomal RNA is filed under the name uncultured Cystobacter sp. RNAcentral describes it as "bacterial SSU rRNA". It matches the Rfam family "Bacterial small subunit ribosomal RNA", at positions 14 to 803 of the family's 1533-position model. The record is from RNAcentral. Lineage: Bacteria; Pseudomonadati; Myxococcota; Myxococcia; Myxococcales; Archangiaceae.
UGAUCCUGGCUCAGAACGAACGCUGGCGGCGUGCCUAACACAUGCAAGUCGAGCGCGAAAGGAGCAAUCCUAGUAGAGCGGCGCACGGGUGCGUAACACGUGGGUAAUCUGCCUGGGUGUCUGGGAUAACCAGUCGAAAGACUGGCUAAUACCGGAUAAGACCACGGCCUCCUCGGAGGCAGUGAGAAAAGGUGGCCUCUGUAUACAAGCUAUCACACCUAGAUGAGCCCGCGGCCCAUCAGCUAGUUGGCGGGGUAAUGGCCCACCAAGGCGACGACGGGUAGCUGGUCUGAGAGGACGAUCAGCCACACUGGAACUGAGACACGGUCCAGACUCCUACGGGAGGCAGCAGUGGGGAAUUUUGCGCAAUGGGCGGAAGCCUGACGCAGCAACGCCGCGUGUGUGAUGAAGGUCUUCGGAUUGUAAAGCACUUUCGACCGGGACGAAAACCCCUAGCCCAACACGCUGGGGCUUGACGGUACCGGGAGAAGAAGCACCGGCUAACUCUGUGCCAGCAGCCGCGGUAAUACAGAGGGUGCAAGCGUUGUUCGGAAUUAUUGGGCGUAAAGCGCGUGUAGGCGGCUUAGCAAGUCGGGUGUGAAAGCCCUCAGCUCAACUGAGGAAGUGCGCCCGAACUGCAGAGCUUGAGUGCCGGGAGAGGGUGGCGGAAUUCCCCAAGUAGAGGCGAAAUUUCGUAGAUAUGGGGAGGAACACGGUGGGCGAAGGCGGCCACCUGGACGGUAACUGACGCUGAGACGCGUAAGCGGUGGGGGAGCAAACAGGAUUAGAUACCCUGCUAGUCCACGCCGU